The sequence is a transfer RNA, 75 nucleotides long. It matches the Rfam family "tRNA". Rfam says of the family: Transfer RNA (tRNA) molecules are approximately 80 nucleotides in length. Their secondary structure includes four short double-helical elements and three loops (D, anti-codon, and T loops).
GUCCCCUUCGUCUAGUGGCCUAGGACACGCCCUUUCACGGCGGUAAUCAGGGGUUCGAGUCCCCUAGGGACGCCA